UACGUAGGGUGCGAGCGUUAAUCGGAAUUACUGGGCGUAAAGCGUGCGCAGGCGGUUCGUUGUGUCGGCGGUGAAAGCCCCGGGCUUAACCUGGGAACGGCCGUUGAAACUGGCGAACUGGAGUGUGGCAGAGGGGGGUGGAAUUCCGCGUGUAGCAGUGAAAUGCGUUGAGAUGCGGAGGAACACCGAUGGCGAAGGCAGCCCCCUGGGCUAACACUGACGCUCAGGCACGAAAGCGUGGGGAGCAAACAGG
This 253-nucleotide ribosomal RNA is filed under the name uncultured bacterium. Its description in RNAcentral is "partial 16S ribosomal RNA". It matches the Rfam family "Bacterial small subunit ribosomal RNA", at positions 524 to 776 of the family's 1533-position model. The record is from RNAcentral.